RNAcentral lists this ribosomal RNA (442 nucleotides) under uncultured bacterium. RNAcentral describes it as "partial 16S ribosomal RNA". It matches the Rfam family "Bacterial small subunit ribosomal RNA", at positions 338 to 795 of the family's 1533-position model. The record is from RNAcentral.
CCUACGGGUGGCAGCAGUGGGGAAUAUUGGGCCAUGGGCGAAAGCCUGACCCAGCAACGCCGCGUGAAGGAAGAAGGCUUUCGGGUUGUAAACUUCUUUUGAUAGGGAAGAGCAGACGACGGUACCUGUCGAAUAAGCCACGGCUAACUACGUGCCAGCAGCCGCGGUAAUACGUCGGUGGCAGGCGUUAUCCGGAUUUACUGGGUUGAAAGGGCGUGUAGGCGGGGAGGCAAGUCAGAUGUGAAAACCACGGGCUCAACCUGUGGCCUGCAUUUGAAACUGGUUUUCUUGAGUGCUGGAGAGGCAAUCGGAAUUCCGUGUGUAGCGGUGAAAUGCGUAGAUAUACGGAGGAACACCAGUGGCGAAGGCGGAUUGCUGGACAGUAACUGACGCUGAGGCGCGAAAGCGUGGGGAGCAAACAGGAUUAGAUACCCUUGUAGUC